UACGAAGGGGGCUAGCGUUGCUCGGAAUCACUGGGCGUAAAGCGCACGUAGGCGGAUUGUUAAGUCAGGGGUGAAAUCCUGGAGCUCAACUCCAGAACUGCCUUUGAUACUGGCGAUCUCGAGUCCGGGAGAGGUGAGUGGAAUUCCACGUGUAGCGGUGAAAUGCGUAGAGAUGUGGAAGAACACCAGUGGCGAAGGCGACUCUUUGGCCUGUAACUGACGCUGAGGCGCGAAAGCGUGGGGAGCAAACAGG
Molecule: ribosomal RNA, 253 nt
Filed under: uncultured bacterium
Lineage: Bacteria
Description: partial 16S ribosomal RNA
Rfam family: Bacterial small subunit ribosomal RNA
Source: RNAcentral